UUGCCAGACUCCUACGGGAGGCAGCAGUGGGGAAUAUUGCACAAUGGGGGAAACCCUGAUGCAGCGACGCCGCGUGAGCGAUGAAGUAUUUCGGUAUGUAAAGCUCUAUCAGCAGGGAAGAAAAUGACGGUACCUGACUAAGAAGCCCCGGCUAACUACGUGCCAGCAGCCGCGGGAAUACGUAGGGGGCAAGCGUUAUCCGGAUUUACUGGGUGUAAAGGGAGCGUAGACGGCGGUGCAAGCCAGAUGUGAAAGCCCGGGGCUCAACCCCGGGACUGCACUGGAAACUGCCGGGCUGGAGUGUCGGAGGGGCAGGCGGAAUUCCUAGUGUAGCGGUGAAAUGCGUAGAUAUUAGGAGGAACACCGGUGGCGAAGGCGGCCUGCUGGACGACGACUGACGCUGAGGCUCGAAAGCGUGGGGAGCAAACAGGAUUAGAUACCCCCGUA
RNAcentral lists this ribosomal RNA (447 nucleotides) under uncultured bacterium. RNAcentral's name for it is "partial 16S ribosomal RNA". It matches the Rfam family "Bacterial small subunit ribosomal RNA", at positions 328 to 792 of the family's 1533-position model. The record is from RNAcentral.